Molecule: transfer RNA, 72 nt
Filed under: Camelus bactrianus (Bactrian camel)
Lineage: Eukaryota; Metazoa; Chordata; Mammalia; Artiodactyla; Camelidae
Also listed under: 2 other names
Rfam family: tRNA
About the family: Transfer RNA (tRNA) molecules are approximately 80 nucleotides in length.
Source: Rfam by way of RNAcentral
GUAGGUAUAGCUCAGUGGUAGAGUUCAUGCUUAACAUACAUGAGGUCCUGGGUUUGAUCCCCCGUACCUCCA